RNAcentral lists this ribosomal RNA (881 nucleotides) under Empoasca papaya phytoplasma. RNAcentral's name for it is "bacterial SSU rRNA". It matches the Rfam family "Bacterial small subunit ribosomal RNA", at positions 366 to 1254 of the family's 1533-position model. Lineage: Bacteria; Bacillati; Mycoplasmatota; Mollicutes; Acholeplasmatales; Acholeplasmataceae. The record is from RNAcentral.
CGGCAAUGGAGGAAACUCUGACCGAGCAACGCCGCGUGAAUGACGAAGUACUUCGGUAUGUAAAGUUCUUUUAUCGAGGAAGAAAAGCAAAUGGCGAACCAUUUGUUUGCCGGUACUUGAUGAAUAAGCCCCGGCUAAUUAUGUGCCAGCAGCCGCGGUAAGACAUAAGGGGCAAGUGUUAUCCGGAAUUAUUGGGCGUAAAGGGUGCGUAGGCGGUCUAGUAAGUCAGUGGUGUAAUGGCAACGCUUAACGUUGUCCGGCUAUUGAAACUGCUAAACUUGAGUUAGAUAGAGGCGAGUGGAAUUCCAUGUGUAGCGGUAAAAUGCGUAAAUAUAUGGAGGAACACCAGAGGCGUAGGCGGCUCGCUGGGUCUUAACUGACGCUGAGGCACGAAAGCGUGGGGAGCAAACAGGAUUAGAUACCCUGGUAGUCCACGCCGUAAACGAUGAGUACUAAGUGUCGGGUUAAACCGGUACCGAAGUUAACACAUUAAGUACUCCGCCUGAGUAGUACGUACGCAAGUAUGAAACUUAAAGGAAUUGACGGGACUCCGCACAAGCGGUGGAUCACGUUGUUUAAUUCGAAGAUACCCGAAAAACCUUACCAGGUCUUGACAUGUUUUUGCAAAAUGAUAGUAAUAUCGUGGAGGUUACCAGAAACACAGGUGGUGCAUGGUUGUCGUCAGCUCGUGUCGUGAGAUGUUAGGUUAAGUCCUAAAACGAGCGAAACCCUUAUCGUUAGUUGCCAGCACGUUAUGGUGGGGACUUUAACGAGACUGCCAAUGAUAAAUUGGAGGAAGGUGAGGAUCACGUCAAAUCAGCAUGCCCCUUAUGACCUGGGCUACAAACGUGAUACAAUGGCUGUUACAAAGAGUAGCUGAA